Long non-coding RNA from Mytilus californianus (California mussel), 585 nucleotides. RefSeq lists it as uncharacterized. NCBI's taxonomy places the organism in Eukaryota, Metazoa, Mollusca, Bivalvia, Mytilida, Mytilidae. The record is from RefSeq and is a predicted model, not a curated record. The transcript has 3 exons.
AUUAGAAGAAAUAACAGUUGAGAAGAUUUUCCUGUUUGAUGUUAAGAUCAGUGUAUGUUUUGAGACGUAUGGAGACUGUAGAUACAAAUUUGACAUUUUGGACAGUGUAAGGAUACCAAAACUACUUUGUUCAUGGUCGGAUGACUUUGUCAUUCCAGGAUUCAAAAUAAGUAAUUGGAUGAGUAAUAAAGGACUACUUAGCUCCUUAACACAGUUACCCUCAGUCCUUGCAUCACAGCUCAUGGAAGAUCUGAAUUUAGCUGGUUAUCUGUUGAAUCCAGCAUGUGACCAGUCGAGUAGUAAAUACAAAACUGAAAGUGGCAAUGGAUGGAAUUCAGAAUGCACAUCAGAGGUGAACCUUCCUGACCUACCAGAAUCCGUGACAUGCUACUUAGAUGACACUUGUACUGGGUUAAGCUGUUGUGCACACAUUGGAUUUAUCAAUAGAAAUAUCAAUUUUUUUCUUACAAUAGAUCCUUGCAGUUAUACAUUUAACAUUGGCAUAGAAAAGUAUCAAUAUGAAUUUUUUCUAAUGGAUUUUGAAUUUGGCAUUCAAAAACAUUUUCAUAUUGGACAAGUGAUUGA